CCCUUAGACGUUCUGGGCCGCACGCGCGCUACACUGACCAGUGCAACAAGCAUCCGUCCUUGGCCGACAGGCCCGGGCAAUCUUUGAACGCUGGUCGUGAUGGGGAUAGACUUUUGCAAUUUUUGGUCUUCAACGAGGAAUUCCUAGUAAACGCAAGUCAUCAACUUGCAUUGAUUACGUCCCUGCCCUUUGUACACACCGCCCGUCGCACCUACCGAUUGAAUGGUCCGGUGAAGCCUCCGGAUUGGCGCGCACCUCGGUACCGCCGAGAAGUUGGCUAAACCUUACCAUUUAGAGGAAGGUGAAGUCGUANCA
This 315-nucleotide ribosomal RNA is filed under the name uncultured eukaryote. Its description in RNAcentral is "partial 18S ribosomal RNA". It matches the Rfam family "Eukaryotic small subunit ribosomal RNA", at positions 1470 to 1796 of the family's 1831-position model. The record is from RNAcentral.